Molecule: ribosomal RNA, 116 nt
Filed under: Escherichia coli
Lineage: Bacteria; Pseudomonadati; Pseudomonadota; Gammaproteobacteria; Enterobacterales; Enterobacteriaceae
Source: RNAcentral
CCUGGCGGCCGUAGCGCGGUGGUCCCACCUGACCCCAUGCCGAACUCAGAAGUGAAACGCCGUAGCGCCGAUGGUAGCAUGGGGUCUCCCCAUGCGAGAGUAGGGAACUGCCAGGC